GGUGAGAUGGCCGAGUGGUUAUGGCGCCGUGUUCAGGAAAACACGAUUUACCACCUUCAAAGGUUGUAAAUUGGGUAUCGUGAACAAUUCGCGGUGGAGCAAUCCGCGUGGGUUCGAGUCCCACUCUCAUCA
This is a non-coding RNA of Nemania sp. FL0031, 132 nucleotides long. NCBI's taxonomy places the organism in Eukaryota, Fungi, Ascomycota, Sordariomycetes, Xylariales, Xylariaceae. The record is from the annotation of a GenBank genome assembly.